GACGAACGCUGGCGGCGUGCUUAACACAUGCAAGUCGAACGGAAAGGCCCUGCUUUUGUGGGGUGCUCGAGUGGCGAACGGGUGAGUAACACGUGAGUAACCUGCCCUUGACUUUGGGAUAACUUCAGGAAACUGGGGCUAAUACCGGAUAUGAGCUCCUGCUGCAUGGUGGGGGUUGGAAAGUUUCGGCGGUUGGGGAUGGUCUCGCGGCUUAUCAGCUUGUUGGUGGGGUAGUGGCUUACCAAGGCUUUGACGGGUAGCCGGCCUGAGAGGGGGACCGGCCACAUUGGGACUGAGAGACGGCCCAGACUGCUACGGGAGGCAGCAGUGGGGAAUAUUGCACAAUGGGCGGAAGCCUGAUGCAGCAACGCCGCGUGCGGGAUGACGGCCUUCGGGUUGUAAACCGCUUUCGCCUGUGACGAAGCGUGAGUGACGGUAAUGGGUAAAGAAGCACCGGCUAACUACGUG
This 468-nucleotide ribosomal RNA is filed under the name uncultured bacterium. Its description in RNAcentral is "partial 16S ribosomal RNA". It matches the Rfam family "Bacterial small subunit ribosomal RNA", at positions 28 to 507 of the family's 1533-position model. The record is from RNAcentral.